RNAcentral lists this ribosomal RNA (484 nucleotides) under uncultured bacterium. RNAcentral's name for it is "partial 16S ribosomal RNA". It matches the Rfam family "Bacterial small subunit ribosomal RNA", at positions 30 to 507 of the family's 1533-position model. The record is from RNAcentral.
AUUGAACGCUGGCGGCAGGCCUAACACAUGCAAGUCGAGCGGAUGAAGGGAGCCUGCGCCUGGAUUCAGCGGCGGACGGGUGAGUAAUGCCUAGGAAUCUGCCUGGUAGUGGGGGAUAACGUCCGGAAACGGGCGCUAAUACCGCAUACGUCCUGAGGGAGAAAGUGGGGGAUCUUCGGACCUCACGGGAUCAGAUGAGCCUAGGUCGGAUUAGCUAGUUGGUGGGGUAAAGGCCUACCAAGGCGACGAUCCGUAACUGGCCUGAGAGGAUGAUCAGUCACACUGGAACUGAGACACGGUCCAGACUCCUACGGGAGGCAGCAGUGGGGAAUCUUGGACAAUGGGCGAAAGCCUGAUCCAGCCAUGCCGCGUGUGUGAAGAAGGUCUUCGGAUUGUAAAGCACUUUAAGUUGGGAGGAAGGGCAGUAAGUUAAUCCCUUGCUGUUUUGACGUUACCAACAGAAUAAGCACCGGCUAACUUCGUG